This 253-nucleotide ribosomal RNA is filed under the name uncultured bacterium. Its description in RNAcentral is "partial 16S ribosomal RNA". It matches the Rfam family "Bacterial small subunit ribosomal RNA", at positions 524 to 776 of the family's 1533-position model. The record is from RNAcentral.
UACGAAGGGGGCUAGCGUUGCUCGGAAUCACUGGGCGUAAAGGGUGCGUAGGCGGGUCUUUAAGUCAGGGGUGAAAUCCUGGAGCUCAACUCCAGAACUGCCUUUGGUACUGAAGAUCUUGAGUUCGGGAGAGGUGAGUGGAACUGCGAGUGUAGAGGUGAAAUUCGUAGAUAUUCGGAGGAACACCAGUGGCGAAGGCGGCUCACUGGCUCGACACUGACGCUGAGGUGCGAAAGCGUGGGGAGCAAACAGG